GGUCUAUUAGUUCAUUUGGUUACAGUGUGGUACUAAUAAUGCCAAGGUCACAAGUUCGACCCCUGUAUGGACCU
This is a transfer RNA of Sphaerobolus stellatus SS14, 74 nucleotides long. It matches the Rfam family "tRNA". From Rfam's summary of the family: Transfer RNA (tRNA) molecules are approximately 80 nucleotides in length. Their secondary structure includes four short double-helical elements and three loops (D, anti-codon, and T loops). The record is from Rfam. Lineage: Eukaryota; Fungi; Basidiomycota; Agaricomycetes; Geastrales; Sphaerobolaceae.